AAAGAGAAAAAGUAUGAAAGAGGAUGUGACUUUGUGCAAAAAGAAAAAUGUUGAAAGAAAUAAAAGAAAAAGAAAGUGAAAGAAAAAGAAUAAAGUGAAAAAUAAGAGUCAAAAAAGUCAAAAGUCACAUCCAUGUUGCAAAGAAAUAAGGGAAAGAGUUUAAAAUGGAAGGAUGCCAAAAAUAGGUCAAGGAAGAGGUAAAAAGCCAAUGUAAUGUCA
Molecule: long non-coding RNA, 219 nt
Filed under: Solanum tuberosum (potato)
Lineage: Eukaryota; Viridiplantae; Streptophyta; Magnoliopsida; Solanales; Solanaceae
Description: long non-coding RNA (STUB_LNC007979)
Source: RNAcentral